GACGAACGCUGGCGGCGUGCUUAACACAUGCAAGUCGAACGAAGCGGCGAACGGGUGAGUAACGCGUAAUCAACCUGCCCUUCAGAGGGGGACAACAGUUGGAAAAGACUGCUAAUACCGCCUAAUGAAGGAGGGGAUUGCGUCUGAUUAGCUCGUUGGAGGGGUAACGGCCCACCACGGCGAUGAGCAGUAGGCGGUCUGAGAGGGUGAACGGCCACAUUGGGACUGAGACACGGCCCAGACUCCUACGGGAGGCAGCAGUGGGGAAUCUUCAGCAAUGGACGAAAGUCUGACGGAGCAACGCCGCGUGAGUGAUGACGGCCUUCGGGUUGUAAAGCUCUGUUAAUCGGGACGCGGUACCGGAAUAGAAAGCCACGGCUAACUACGUGCCAGCCGCCGCGGUAAUAC
RNAcentral lists this ribosomal RNA (408 nucleotides) under uncultured bacterium. Its description in RNAcentral is "partial 16S ribosomal RNA". It matches the Rfam family "Bacterial small subunit ribosomal RNA", at positions 28 to 526 of the family's 1533-position model. The record is from RNAcentral.